GAUGAACGCUAGCUACAGGCUUAACACAUGCAAGUCGAGGGGAAACGGCAUUGAGUGCUUGCACUCUUUGGACGUCGACCGGCGCACGGGUGAGUAACGCGUAUCCAACCUUCCCAUUACUGUGGGAUAACCUGCCGAAAGGCAGACUAAUACCGCAUAGUCUUCGAUGACGACAUCAGAUUUGAAGUAAAGAUUUAUCGGUAAUGGAUGGGGAUGCGUCUGAUUAGCUUGUUGGCGGGGUAACGGCCCACCAAGGCUACGAUCAGUAGGGGUUCUGAGAGGAAGGUCCCCCACAUUGGAACUGAGACACGGUCCAAACUCCUACGGGAGGCAGCAGUGAGGAAUAUUGGUCAAUGGACGGAAGUCUGAACCAGCCAAGUAGCGUGCAGGAUGACGGCCCUAUGGGUUGUAAACUGCUUUUGUAUGGGGAUAAAGUUAGGGACGUGUCCCUAUUUGCAGGUACC
Molecule: ribosomal RNA, 464 nt
Filed under: Prevotella melaninogenica
Lineage: Bacteria; Pseudomonadati; Bacteroidota; Bacteroidia; Bacteroidales; Prevotellaceae
Description: bacterial SSU rRNA
Rfam family: Bacterial small subunit ribosomal RNA
Source: RNAcentral